RNAcentral lists this ribosomal RNA (227 nucleotides) under uncultured bacterium. RNAcentral describes it as "partial 16S ribosomal RNA". It matches the Rfam family "Bacterial small subunit ribosomal RNA", at positions 524 to 747 of the family's 1533-position model. The record is from RNAcentral.
UACGUAGGGUGCGAGCGUUAAUCGGAAUUACUGGGCGUAAAGCGUGCGCAGGCGGUUUGCUAAGACCGAUGUGAAAUCCCGGGCUUAACCCUGGGAACUGCAUUGGUGACUGGCAGGCUAGAGUAUGGCAGAGGGGGGUAGAAUUCCACGUGAUAGCAGUGAAAUGCGUGAGAGAGUGUGGAGGAAUACCGAUGGCGAAGGCAGCCCCCUGGGCCAAUACUGACGCU